CGGCGCCUACGGGGGGCAGCAGUGGGGAAUAUUGCGCAAUGGGGGCAACCCUGACGCAGCAACGCCGCGUGAUAGAAGACGGCCUUCGGGUUGUAAAGAUCUUUAAUCGGGGACGAAUUUUGACGGUACCCGAAGAAUAAGCUCCGGCUAACUACGUGCCAGCAGCCGCGGUAAUACGUAGGGAGCAAGCGUUAUCCGGAUUUACUGGGUGUAAAGGGCGUGUAGGCGGGCAUGCAAGCCAGAAGGGAAAUCUGGGGGCUUAACCCCCAAACAGCUUUUGGAACUGCGGGUCUUGA
This 296-nucleotide ribosomal RNA is filed under the name uncultured bacterium. Its description in RNAcentral is "partial 16S ribosomal RNA". It matches the Rfam family "Bacterial small subunit ribosomal RNA", at positions 333 to 645 of the family's 1533-position model. The record is from RNAcentral.